This 1491-nucleotide ribosomal RNA is filed under the name metagenome. RNAcentral's name for it is "bacterial LSU rRNA". It matches the Rfam family "Bacterial large subunit ribosomal RNA", at positions 1386 to 2857 of the family's 2925-position model. The record is from RNAcentral.
GGUUCCUAAGGCGAGGCUGAAAAGCGUAGUCGAUGGGAAACAGGUUAAUAUUCCUGUACUUCUGGUUACUGCGAUGGAGGGACGGAGAAGGCUAGGCCAGCUUGGCGUUGGUUGUCCAAGUUUAAGGUGGUAGGCUGAAAUCUUAGGUAAAUCCGGGGUUUCAAGGCCGAGAGCUGAUGACGAGUCGUCUUUUAGAUGACGAAGUGGUUGAUGCCAUGCUUCCAAGAGAAGCUUCUAAGCUUCAGGUAACCAGGAACCGUACCCCAAACCGACACAGGUGGUCGGGUAGAGAAUACCAAGGCGCUUGAGAGAACUCGGGUGAAGGAACUAGGCAAAAUGGCACCGUAACUUCGGGAGAAGGUGCGCCGGCUAGGGUGAAGGAUUUACUCCGUAAGCUCUGGCUGGUCGAAGAUACCAGGCCGCUGCGACUGUUUAUUAAAAACACAGCACUCUGCAAACACGAAAGUGGACGUAUAGGGUGUGACGCCUGCCCGGUGCCGGAAGGUUAAUUGAUGGGGUUAGCGCAAGCGAAGCUCUUGAUCGAAGCCCCGGUAAACGGCGGCCGUAACAAUAACGGUCCUAAGGUAGCGAAAUUCCUUGUCGGGUAAGUUCCGACCUGCACGAAUGGCGUAACGAUGGCGGCGCUGUCUCCACCCGAGACUCAGUGAAAUUGAAAUCGCUGUGAAGAUGCAGUGUAUCCGCGGCUAGACGGAAAGACCCCGUGAACCUUUACUGUAGCUUUGCACUGGACUUUGAGCCUGCUUGUGUAGGAUAGGUGGGAGGCUUUGAAGCGUGGACGCCAGUUCGCGUGGAGCCAUCCUUGAAAUACCACCCUGGCAUGCUUGAGGUUCUAACUCUGGUCCGUAAUCCGGAUCGAGGACAGUGUAUGGUGGGCAGUUUGACUGGGGCGGUCUCCUCCUAAAGAGUAACGGAGGAGUACGAAGGUGCGCUCAGACCGGUCGGAAAUCGGUCGCAGAGUAUAAAGGCAAAAGCGCGCUUGACUGCGAGACAGACACGUCGAGCAGGUACGAAAGUAGGUCUUAGUGAUCCGGUGGUUCUGUAUGGAAGGGCCAUCGCUCAACGGAUAAAAGGUACUCCGGGGAUAACAGGCUGAUACCGCCCAAGAGUUCAUAUCGACGGCGGUGUUUGGCACCUCGAUGUCGGCUCAUCACAUCCUGGGGCUGAAGCCGGUCCCAAGGGUAUGGCUGUUCGCCAUUUAAAGUGGUACGCGAGCUGGGUUUAGAACGUCGUGAGACAGUUCGGUCCCUAUCUGCCGUGGACGUUUGAGAUUUGAGAGGGGCUGCUCCUAGUACGAGAGGACCGGAGUGGACGAACCUCUGGUGUUCCGGUUGUCACGCCAGUGGCAUUGCCGGGUAGCUAUGUUCGGAAAAGAUAACCGCUGAAAGCAUCUAAGCGGGAAACUUGCCUCAAGAUGAGAUCUCACUGGGAAUUUGAUUCCCCUGAAGGGCCGUCGAAGACUACGACGUUGGU